RNAcentral lists this ribosomal RNA (440 nucleotides) under uncultured bacterium. Its description in RNAcentral is "partial 16S ribosomal RNA". It matches the Rfam family "Bacterial small subunit ribosomal RNA", at positions 338 to 795 of the family's 1533-position model. The record is from RNAcentral.
CCUACGGGUGGCAGCAGUGGGGAAUAUUGCACAAUGGGGGGAACCCUGAUGCAGCGACGCCGCGUGAGUGAAGAAGUAUUUCGGUAUGUAAAGCUCUAUCAGCAGGGAAGAAAAUGACGGUACCUGACUAAGAAGCCCCGGCUAACUACGUGCCAGCAGCCGCGGUAAUACGUAGGGGGCAAGCGUUAUCCGGAUUUACUGGGUGUAAAGGGAGCGCAGACGGCUGUGCAAGUCUGGAGUGAAAGGCGGGGGCACAACCCCCGGACUGCUCUGGAAACUGUAAAGCUGGAGUGCAGGAGAGGUAAGCGGAAUUCCUAGUGUAGCGGUGAAAUGCGUAGAUAUUAGGAGGAACACCAGUGGCGAAGGCGGCUUACUGGACUGCAACUGACGUUGAGGCUCGAAAGCGUGGGGAGCAAACAGGAUUAGAUACCCUAGUAGUC